Molecule: ribosomal RNA, 492 nt
Filed under: uncultured bacterium
Lineage: Bacteria
Description: partial 16S ribosomal RNA
Rfam family: Bacterial small subunit ribosomal RNA
Source: RNAcentral
AGUGAACGCUGGCGGUAGGCCUAACACAUGCAAGUCGAACGGCAGCACAGUAAGAGCUUGCUCUUACGGGUGGCGAGUGGCGGACGGGUGAGGAAUACAUCGGAAUCUACUUUUUCGUGGGGGAUAACGAAGGGAAACUUACGCUAAUACCGCAUACGACCUACGGGUGAAAGCAGGGGAACUUCGCACCUUGCGCGAAUGAAUGAGCCGAUGUCGGACUAGCUAGUUGGCGGGGUAAAGGCCCACCAAGGCGACGAUCCGUAGCUGGUCGGAGAGGAUGGUCGGCCACACUGGAACGGGGACACGGUCAAGGCUCCUACGGGAGGGAGCAGUGGGGAAUAUGGGACAGUGGGCGCAAGCCUGAUCCAGCCAUACCGCGUGGGUGGAGGAGGCCUUCGGGUUGUAAAGCCCUUUUGUUGGGAAAGAAAAGCAGCAGGUUAAUACCCCGCUGUUCUGACGGUACCCAAAGAAGAAGCACCGGCUAACUUCGUG